Molecule: long non-coding RNA, 418 nt
Organism: Drosophila virilis
Lineage: Eukaryota; Metazoa; Arthropoda; Insecta; Diptera; Drosophilidae
Source: RefSeq, a predicted model, not a curated record
GUCAACUUGUCAAUUUGACAGUCGUUCAGUCAACUGAAGGCAGGUAGUUAAAAUUAAAAUUCAAUUUCGUUUUCUUUUCAAAUUAAAAUUUGUUUGUUUUGGAAUUUGAGUAUCAAAUUAUGUCAUUUAUUGUGCGUCGCAGCCGACGCGGCUUGCUUAAAACUAGAGGGACAACAAAUAAAAAAUGCAAAAAAACACAAACCAACAAUGAAGACAGAGCAGCAGCAAAACAAGUUAGAAUACUGUACCUAAAAGCUUUUUGCAGUAUUAAAGUGUACACAUUAUUGUGUGCUAUCUUUGCGCUGACCGGUUGGACAAGCUUUUUCCGCAGAUUAAGCCCGACAAGACUAUACAUACAUAUACCGUUUUCAUGAAUUUUAUGAGUGCAGCGUAUUAAAAAUUGUUUAUAAACAAAAAA